Molecule: long non-coding RNA, 472 nt
Organism: Triticum aestivum (bread wheat)
Lineage: Eukaryota; Viridiplantae; Streptophyta; Magnoliopsida; Poales; Poaceae
Exons: 1
Source: RefSeq, a predicted model, not a curated record
ACAGAGUGAGGCGCUCACCAAAUAGACUUCACACACAGAUCGAGAUGGUGCACAGGCUUACACACGACGAAGGUGACGAGGCUGCCGCCACCACGGAGGGGAGGAAGAGGGAGACGACGGCGACAAGGAGGAGGAGGAGGCAAGGUGGCGGAGACGCCAUCGCGGCGAUCAAGAGGAGGAUGCUGCGGUGCAGCGAGGCCGGAGAACGGGUGAGGUUCAAGCGGAGCUACUUGGCAGGCGCGGGCGGCGGCGAGCAGGGCGACGGCGCCUCCGCCGUCUUCUUCUACCUGGCCUGCAUCGCCUGUGCGCCGGCUUAAUUAGUUCAUCAGCUCCUCUUUCCUGUGUUCUACACAGGUUGUAAUUGCCUGAUUGGAAUCAUAUAUAGUCCGCGUUAGCUCACUACUCCGUUGUCAGUGGUAGGCUCUCAGGAAUCAAGAUGAGAUGCUCUGGUCGUAAAUAUUUCAGUUAUUUC